UACGUAGGGGGCAAGCGUUGUCCAGAUUUAUUGGGCGUAAAGAGCGUGUAGGCGGCUAAAUAGGUCCGUUGUGAAAACUCGAGGCUCAACCUCGAGAUGCCGAUGGAAACCAUUUGGCUAGAGUCCGGAAGAGGAGAGUGGAAUUCCCGGUGUAGCGGUGAAAUGCGCAGAUAUCGGGAAGAACACCCGUGGCUAAGGCGGCUCUCUAGUACGGUACUGACGCUGAGACGCGAAAGCGUGGGGAGCGAACAGG
RNAcentral lists this ribosomal RNA (253 nucleotides) under uncultured bacterium. RNAcentral describes it as "partial 16S ribosomal RNA". It matches the Rfam family "Bacterial small subunit ribosomal RNA", at positions 524 to 776 of the family's 1533-position model. The record is from RNAcentral.